UUGACCUCAAAUCAGGUAGGACUACCCGCUGAACUUAAGCAUAUCAAUAAGCGGAGGAAAAGAAACUAACAAGGAUUCCCCUAGUAACUGCGAGUGAAGCGGGAUAAGCUCAAAUUUGAAAUCUGGCAGUCUUUUUUUUCUUCUUUGGCUGUCCGAGUUGUAAUCUAGAGAAGUGCUACCUGCACUG
Molecule: ribosomal RNA, 187 nt
Filed under: Amanita rhacopus
Lineage: Eukaryota; Fungi; Basidiomycota; Agaricomycetes; Agaricales; Amanitaceae
Also listed under: 1 other name
Description: partial 28S ribosomal RNA
Rfam family: Eukaryotic large subunit ribosomal RNA
Source: RNAcentral